RNAcentral lists this ribosomal RNA (468 nucleotides) under uncultured bacterium. RNAcentral's name for it is "partial 16S ribosomal RNA". It matches the Rfam family "Bacterial small subunit ribosomal RNA", at positions 28 to 507 of the family's 1533-position model. The record is from RNAcentral.
GACGAACGCUGGCGGCGGGCUUAACACAUGCAAGUCGAACGGAAAGGCCCCGCCUUGGAGGCGUGCUCGAGUGGCGAACGGGUGAGGAACACGCGAGUAACCUGCCCUAUACUUUGGGAUAACUGCAGGAAACUGUGGCUACUACCGGAAAGGAGCUCCUGCUGCAUGGUGGUGUUAGGAAAGUUUCGGCGGAUGGGGAUGUACUCGCGGCUUAUCAGCUUGUUGGUGGGGUAGCGGCUUACCAAGGCUUUGGCGGGUAGCCGGCCCGAGAGGGUGACCGGCCACCUUGGCACUGAGCUACGGGCCAGAGUCCUACGGGAUGCUGAAGUGGGGUAUGUUGCACGAUGGGCGCAAGCCUGAUGCAGCAACGCCGCGUGCGGGAUGACGGCCUUCUGGUGGUAGGCCGCUUUAGCCUGUGACGAAGCGUGGAUGACGGUACUGGAUAAAGAAGCACCGGCUAACUACGUG